CCAAUAGCGUAUAUUAAAGUUGUUGCAGUUAAAAAGCUCGUAGUUGAAUUUCGGGGUUAGUAGGUUGGUCAUGCCUCUGGUAUGUACUGGUCUCACUGAUUCCUCCUUCCUGAUGAGCCGUAAUGCCAUUAAUUUGGUGUUGCGGGGAAUUUGGACUGUUACUUUGAAAAAAUUAGAGUGUUUAAAGCAAGCUAACGCUUGAAUACAUUAGCAUGGAAUAAUGAAAUAGGACGUUCGAUCCUAUUUUGUUGGUUUCUAGGAUUGACGUAAUGAUUAAUAGGGAUAGUUGGGGGCAUUAGUAUUCAAUUGUCAGAGGUGAAAUUCUUGGAUUUAUUGAAGACUAACUACUGCGAAAGCAUUUGCCAAGGAUGUUUUCAUUAAUCGAAAACGAAAGUUAGGGGAUCGAAGACGAUCAGAUACCGUCGUAGUCUUAACCAUAAACUAUGCCGACUAGGGAUCGGAUGAUGUUAAUUUUUUAAUGACUCAUUCGGCGCCUUACG
RNAcentral lists this ribosomal RNA (500 nucleotides) under uncultured Glomeromycotina. RNAcentral describes it as "partial small subunit ribosomal RNA". It matches the Rfam family "Eukaryotic small subunit ribosomal RNA", at positions 591 to 1092 of the family's 1831-position model. The record is from RNAcentral. Lineage: Eukaryota; Fungi; Glomeromycota.